GGGGGGUGCGAGCGUUGUCCGGAUUCACUGGGCGUAAAGGGCGCGUAGGCGGCUUGAUCAGUCCGAUCUGUAAGUGCGGGGCUUAACCCCGUGAUGGGUUGGGGACGGUUAGGCUGGGGCGCGGCAGAGGGAGACGGAAUGCCGGGUGUAGUGGUGAAAUGCGUAGAGAUCCGGCGGAACACCGGUGGUGAAGGCGGUCUCCUGGGCCGAGGGCCGACGCUGAGGCGCGAGAGCGUGGGGAGCGAACCGGAUUAGAUACCCGGGUAAUCCACGCCGUAAACGGUGGAUGCUAGGUGUGAGGGGUAUCGACCCCCCUCGUGCCGGCGCGAACGCAGGAAGCAUCCCGCCUGGGGAGUACGGCCGCAAGGCUA
Molecule: ribosomal RNA, 371 nt
Filed under: uncultured bacterium
Lineage: Bacteria
Description: bacterial SSU rRNA
Rfam family: Bacterial small subunit ribosomal RNA
Source: RNAcentral